This 446-nucleotide ribosomal RNA is filed under the name uncultured bacterium. RNAcentral describes it as "bacterial SSU rRNA". It matches the Rfam family "Bacterial small subunit ribosomal RNA", at positions 791 to 1243 of the family's 1533-position model. The record is from RNAcentral.
UAGUCCACGCCGUAAACGAUGGACACUAGUUGUUGGGUUUUUGAUUCAGUGACUAAGCGAAAGUGAUAAGUAUCCCACCUGGGGAGUACGUUCGCAAGAAUGAAACUCAAAGGAAUUGACGGGGGCCCGCACAAGCGGUGGAGCAUGUGGUUUAAUUCGAUGAUACGCGAGGAACCUUACCAGGGCUUAAAUGUAAGUUGCAUGAUCCAGAGAUGGGUCUUUCUUCGGACCACUUACAAGGUGCUGCAUGGUUGUCGUCAGCUCGUGCCGUGAGGUGUCAGGUUAAGUCCUAUAACGAGCGCAACCCCUGUUGUUAGUUGCCAGCAUGUAAAGAUGGGAACUCUAACAAGACUGCCGGUGCAAACCGCGAGGAAGGUGGGGAUGACGUCAAAUCAUCACGGCCCUUACGCCUGGGGCUACACACGUGCUACAAUGGGUAGGGGACA